RNAcentral lists this ribosomal RNA (494 nucleotides) under uncultured bacterium. Its description in RNAcentral is "partial 16S ribosomal RNA". It matches the Rfam family "Bacterial small subunit ribosomal RNA", at positions 38 to 507 of the family's 1533-position model. The record is from RNAcentral.
GGGGGGGGGGGGGGGGGGGGGGGGGGGGGGGGGUGGGGCGGGGGGGGGGGGGCUUGCUUGGCGGGGUGAGUUGCGAACGGGGGGGUGACGCGUAGGUAACCUGCCUGGUAGCGGGGGGUAACUAUUGGAAACGAUAGCUGAUACCGGAUAAGAGUAGAUGUUGCAUGACGUUUUCUUAAACGUUGCCAUUGCAUCACUAUCAGCUGGACCUGCGUUGUAUUAGCUAGUUGGUGGGGUCACGGCUCACCCAGGCGCGGAUACAUACCCGACCGGAGAGGGUGAUUGGCCACACUGGGAGUGAGACACGGCACAGAGUCCUACGGGAGGCAGCAGGAGGGAAUCUUCGGCAAUGGGUGGAAGUCUGACCGAGCAACGCCGCGUGAGGGAAGAAGGUUGUCGGGUCGUAAAGCUCGGUUGUAAGAGAAGAACGAGUGUGAGAGUGGAAAGUUCACACUGUGACGGUAUCUUACCAGAAAGGGACGGCUAACUACGUG